RNAcentral lists this ribosomal RNA (492 nucleotides) under uncultured bacterium. RNAcentral's name for it is "partial 16S ribosomal RNA". It matches the Rfam family "Bacterial small subunit ribosomal RNA", at positions 29 to 507 of the family's 1533-position model. The record is from RNAcentral.
AGUGAACGCUGGCGGUAGGCCUAACACAUGCAAGUCGAACGGCAGCACAGUAAGAGCUUGCUCUUACGGGUGGCGAGUGGCGGACGGGUGAGGAAUACAUCGGAAUCUACUUUUUCGUGGGGGAUAACGUAGGGAAACUUACGCUAAUACCGCAUACGACCUACGGGUGAAAGCAGGGGAUCUUCGGACCUUGCGCGAUUGAAUGAGCCGAUGUCGGAUUAGCUAGUUGGCGGGGUAAGGGCCCACCAAGGCGACGAUCCGUAGCUGGUCUGAGAGGAUGAUCAGCCACACUGGAACUGAGACACGGUCCAGACUCCUACGGGAGGCAGCAGUGGGGAAUAUUGGACAAUGGGCGCAAGCCUGAUCCAGCCAUACCGCGUAGGUGAAGAAGGCCUUCGGGUUGUAAAGCCCUUUUGUUGGGAAAGAAAAGCAGCAGGAUAAUACCCCGCUGUUCUGACGGUACCCAAAGAAUAAGCACCGGCUAACUUCGUG